UCAGCUGCUCGAUGCUGGUGUUGAUGCGGUCUCUGCGUAGUUUCUCUACCAUUGGCUUUCUCAGCUGAAGAAAAGAAGAGGAAAAAAAAGGUUGCCUAUCUGGAAACUCUGCCCACCAAUGGACGUAUUUCUCAUCCAGGAGGCACGUCCUCAGACAGAUGUUGUCCUCCACGUUCCCACCACAUAUCACUCCCAGUGGAUACAAUAACAAGGAUAUCUCCCUCAACAAGGGGCAAGCAAUGGGCCCCUCCCACCUGUUUGUUUGGAUUCGGGCCAUUGUACCCCAAUGAAUUCAACUAAUUCAUUCACAUCCUAUUGUAUUAAUGCUGCUUUGUGAUUGGCCAAACACUGUGAGAACCAACAUCACAUUAAAUCAGUGGGAAAGUUGGCAUAAGUAUAUAAAUGAGGGAGGUCUUUGUGGGUAAAAUCAUAACCCUGAACGUUUUCUUGUAACCCACACGGGCCUGGACUCGCGGGACGCCAUCCGACUGCAUAUCCGCCAUGAGGGAUCAACACACAACCCUGUGUAAGAUGAUGAAUUUGGAAAGGAAGUGCACAGACAGAGCAGUGAGGCUCCGCUCCACGUUAGAGAGCCAUCUAAGCACUGGAAUGAUCAGCUCUGACGUGUGGGACAAGACGGUCUCCUUUUUCACAGUGAAGAAGGCCUUCAUUUUCCAUAAUGGCUACACCAAAUCCUCCAGAGAGGCCAUGAGGCUGUUCCCCUCACCUUCUGAGGAUGUGUCGCCUUUGUGUUGCCAGUAAGAAGUGCACCGAAAGAGGGUUGAAAUACGAAGAGGAAUACAAAAUCUAGGGAUUUUUAUAAACUUUUUUCUCCAAAUGUCUUCUUAAGCACAAAUGGUGGAAAAGAUGGGAGUUCUCAUUAUCUGACUACCUGCACCAUGAUCCUAUUGGUCAUUGUACAGGCCCUAGAAAUGUGCAUGUUAUGCCUUAAACCUAAGUACUUCUUAGAACUUUAAGACCAUGUUAUUACAGUUUUAUUAAACUGAAAGUCAUAUUCCUUUGUAUAAAGGGUAAAAGUUAUUUUUAUGCCAAUGCAUACUUUUUGUAAAUGUUUAAGAUAUUGUCAGUCAUGUAUAAAAUUUGUUGCUGAAAGCCAUAAGUGAA
Long non-coding RNA from Pelmatolapia mariae (spotted tilapia), 1125 nucleotides. RefSeq lists it as uncharacterized. The record is from RefSeq and is a predicted model, not a curated record. NCBI's taxonomy places the organism in Eukaryota, Metazoa, Chordata, Actinopteri, Cichliformes, Cichlidae. The transcript has 3 exons.